GAUGAACGCUGGCGGCGUGCUUAACACAUGCAAGUCGAACGGGAAACCUUUUAUUGAAGCUUCGGCAGAUUUAGCUGGUUUCUAGUGGCGGACGGGUGAGUAACGCGUGGGUAACCUGCCUUAUACAGGGGGAUAACAACCAGAAAUGGUUGCUAAUACCGCAUAAGCGCACAGGACCGCAUGGUCCGGUGUGAAAAACUCCGGUGGUAUAAGAUGGACCCGCGUUGGAUUAGCUAGUUGGCAGGGUAACGGCCUACCAAGGCGACGAUCCAUAGCCGGCCUGAGAGGGUGAACGGCCACAUUGGGACUGAGACACGGCCCAGACUCCUACAGGAGGCAGCAGUGGGGAAUAUUGCACAAUGGGGGAAACCCUGAUGCAGCGACGCCGCGUGAAGGAAGAAGUAUCUCGGUAUGUAAACUUCUAUCAGCAGGGAAGAUAGUGACGGUACCUGACUAAGAAGCCCCGGCUAACUACGUG
RNAcentral lists this ribosomal RNA (478 nucleotides) under uncultured bacterium. RNAcentral's name for it is "partial 16S ribosomal RNA". It matches the Rfam family "Bacterial small subunit ribosomal RNA", at positions 28 to 507 of the family's 1533-position model. The record is from RNAcentral.